This 253-nucleotide ribosomal RNA is filed under the name uncultured bacterium. RNAcentral's name for it is "partial 16S ribosomal RNA". It matches the Rfam family "Bacterial small subunit ribosomal RNA", at positions 524 to 776 of the family's 1533-position model. The record is from RNAcentral.
GACAGAGGCCUCAAGCGUUAGGCGGAAUCACUGGGCUUAAAGCGUGUGUAGGCGGAUCGUUAAGUGUCUUGUGAAAUCCCACGGCUCACCCGUGGAACUGCUCGGUAUACUGCUCGUCUUGAGCCAACUAGGGGCGACCGGAACAAACGGUGGAGCGGUGAAAUGCGUAGAUAUCGUUUGGAACGCCGAUGGUGAAAACAGGUCGCUGGGGUUGUGCUGACGCUGAGACACGAAAGCCAGGGGAGCGAACGGG